RNAcentral lists this transfer RNA (72 nucleotides) under Urocitellus parryii (Arctic ground squirrel). Its description in RNAcentral is "Spermophilus parryii (Arctic ground squirrel) tRNA". It matches the Rfam family "tRNA". Rfam says of the family: Transfer RNA (tRNA) molecules are approximately 80 nucleotides in length. Their secondary structure includes four short double-helical elements and three loops (D, anti-codon, and T loops). Lineage: Eukaryota; Metazoa; Chordata; Mammalia; Rodentia; Sciuridae. RNAcentral also lists the same sequence under 1 other name. The record is from Rfam by way of RNAcentral.
GGGAGAGUAGCUCAAUGGUAGAGCACUUGCCUAGAAUAUAAAAGGCCCUGGGUUUAAUCCCCAGCACUGCAA